CCUAGUUUCCGUGCCCAACGUUUGACCGUCCGUCUUAUUUAAAAAAAUUAUAAAAAAAAUUAAAAAGACAAGUCACGUAUAAAAUAUUAAUCAUGUUUUAUCAUCUAACAACAAUGAAAAUAUGAAUUAUAAAAAAACUUCAUAUAAGCCAAACAAUCAAAGUUGGACACGAAAACUCAGGGUUUGUCUUUUU
RNAcentral lists this microRNA precursor (193 nucleotides) under Oryza barthii. RNAcentral describes it as "MIR812 microRNA precursor family". It matches the Rfam family "MIR812 microRNA precursor family". The record is from Rfam by way of RNAcentral. Lineage: Eukaryota; Viridiplantae; Streptophyta; Magnoliopsida; Poales; Poaceae.